This 320-nucleotide ribosomal RNA is filed under the name uncultured eukaryote. RNAcentral's name for it is "partial 18S ribosomal RNA". It matches the Rfam family "Eukaryotic small subunit ribosomal RNA", at positions 1470 to 1796 of the family's 1831-position model. The record is from RNAcentral.
CCCUUAGAUGUUCUGGGCCGCACGCGCGCUACACUGACGAAUGCAACGAGCUUAUAACCUUGGCCGAAAGGUCUGGGUAAUCUCCAAAUUUCGUCGUGAUGGGGAUAGAUUAUUGCAAUUAUGGGUCUUCAACGAGGAAUUCCUAGUAAACGCAAGUCAUCAGCUUGCAUUGAUUACGUCCCUGCCCUUUGUACACACCGCCCGUCGCACCUACCGAUUGAAUGGUCCGGUGAAAUCUCGGGACGGCGGCUUGGUCGCUUGCGUCCGACUGCUGAAACUUGAUUAAACCAUAUCAUUUAGAGGAAGGUGAAGUCGUAACA